AGUCGAACGAUGAUGCCCAGCUUGCUGGGCGGAUUAGUGGCGAACGGGUGAGUAACACGCUGAGUAACCUGCCCUUGACUUCGGGAUAACUCCGGGAAACCGGGGCUAAUACCGGAUAUGAGCCGUCCUCGCAUGGGGGUGGUUGGAAAGUUUUUCGGUCAGGGAUGGGCUCGCGGCCUAUCAGCUUGUUGGUGGGGUGAUGGCCUACCAAGGCGACGACGGGUAGCCGGCCUGAGAGGGCGACCGGCCACACUGGGACUGAGACACGGCCCACACUCCUACGGGAGGCAGCAGUGGGGAAUAUUGCACAAUGGGCGAAAGCCUGAUGCAGCGACGCCGCGUGAGGGAUGAAGGCCUUCGGGUUGUAAACCUCUUUCAGCAGGGAAGAAGCGCAAGUGACGGUACCUGCAGAAGAAGCGCCGGCUAACUACGUGCCAGCAGCCGCGGUAAUACGUAGGGCGCAAGCGUUGUCCGGAAUUAUUGGGCGUAAAGAGCUCGUAGGCGGUUUGUCGCGUCUGGUGUGAAAACUCGAGGCUCAACCUCGAGCUUGCAGUCGGGUACGGGCAGACUAGAGUGCGGUAGGGGAGAUUGGAAUUCCUGGUGUAGCGGUGGAAUGCGCAGAUAUCAGGAGGAACACCGAUGGCGAAGGCAGAUCUCUGGGCCGUAACUGACGCUGAGGAGCGAAAGGGUGGGGAGCAAACAGGCUUAGAUACCCUGGUAGUCCACCCCGUAAACGUUGGGAACUAGUUGUGGGGUCCAUUCCACGGAUUCCGUGACGCAGCUAACGCAUUAAGUUCCCCGCCUGGGGAGUACGGCCGCAAGGCUAAAACUCAAAGGAAUUGACGGGGACCCGCACAAGCGGCGGAGCAUGCGGAUUAAUUCGAUGCAACGCGAAGAACCUUACCAAGGCUUGACAUAUAGAGGAAACGUCUGGAAACAGUCGCCCCGCAAGGUCUCUAUACAGGUGGUGCAUGGUUGUCGUCAGCUCGUGUCGUGAGAUGUUGGGUUAAGUCCCGCAACGAGCGCAACCCUCGUUCUAUGUUGCCAGCACGUAAUGGUGGGAACUCAUGGGAUACUGCCGGGGUCAACUCGGAGGAAGGUGGGGAUGACGUCAAAUCAUCAUGCCCCUUAUGUCUUGGGCUUCACGCAUGCUACAAUGGCCGGUACAAAGGGCUGCAAUACCGUGAGGUGGAGCGAAUCCCAAAAAGCCGGUCCCAGUUCGGAUUGAGGUCUGCAACUCGACCUCAUGAAGUCGGAGUCGCUAGUAAUCGCAGAUCAGCAACGCUGCGGUGAAUACGUUCCCGGGUCUUGUACACACCGCCCGUCAAGUCAUGAAAGUCGGUAACACCUGAAGCCGGUGGCCCAACCCUUGUGGAGG
Molecule: ribosomal RNA, 1378 nt
Filed under: Microbacterium sp. 78-15
Lineage: Bacteria; Bacillati; Actinomycetota; Actinomycetes; Micrococcales; Microbacteriaceae
Description: 16S ribosomal RNA
Rfam family: Bacterial small subunit ribosomal RNA
Source: RNAcentral